GAUGAAGAACGUAGCGAAAUGCGAUAAGUAAUGUGAAUUGCAGAAUUCAGUGAAUCAUCGAAUCUUUGAACGCACAUUGCGCCCUUUGGCAUUCCGAAGGGCACACCUGUCCGAGCGCCGUCGCACAACUGAGGCGCAGCCUUGCGUUGGCGGGCGACUUGUGAGUAGCGAGUCGCCGCCCAAACGAGACGGCGCCGCGCCGCGGCCGACUAAGCACGAAAGCGGAAGUCGACGCGGAGGCGGUUGCCUGUAGGAAGACACAGCUUGGCCUCGGAUCAGGUGGGGAUACCCGCUGAACUUAAGCAUAUCAAUAAGCGGAGGA
This 322-nucleotide unclassified non-coding RNA is filed under the name soil metagenome. Its description in RNAcentral is "partial contains 5.8S ribosomal RNA, internal transcribed spacer 2, and large subunit ribosomal RNA". The stretch from base 1 to 120 matches the Rfam family "5.8S ribosomal RNA", at positions 35 to 154 of the family's 154-position model. The record is from RNAcentral.